GUGAAUUGAAUAUGUUAGCGGACCUCUUUGGAGUCCCUAGCAUCAAAUCAUAUCCAUAACACCUGUGAACUGUAAGGCUGUCUUGAAAACGAAAGUGAUUAGAGCGCCUGCCCAUUUUAUACAAACAUUAAAGUAACAAACGUAGUCUUAUUAUAAUCUUAUA
RNAcentral lists this unclassified non-coding RNA (163 nucleotides) under soil metagenome. Its description in RNAcentral is "partial internal transcribed spacer 1". The record is from RNAcentral.